CUUUCACUUUUACAGAGUAUUGUGUGUAGAUCGUUGACAAAAAAUGACAAUUAAAUCCAUUUUAAUCCCACUUUGUAGCACCACAAAAUGUGAAAAACGUCAAGGGGUGUGAAUACCUUCUGAAGGCCCUGUAUUUAAUGGGCUUUUGUGUAACAUAUUUGUAUGUUUUGAUAGAAGUAGUUGAUUUUGUGUAAUGUAUUUAAUGUUUUGAUGGUCUUAAUGGAAAAUUCCACCCCAAAAUGAUCUUUUGGUAUUUGUUUCAUUAGUCGAUUGUUGACAUAGUCCCAAAAUGUUUUGCUUGUCAGCACUCAAGUUUUCAAGAUAUGUAACUUUCAAAAUACAGAAAUCAUCCCCUGUAUAAUGCCAUUUUGCAUCAUAUGAUGCUGCGUUUUGCAUCAUAUGAUGCAAGCUAUUUUCAUGUGCUGUGUGUGAAAGCAGAAAUAUAAGGUUUUUGUUGAAGAUAGCUAUAUCAGUGCCUGAAUAAAACCUUUCUUCUGUAGGCCUACUGUGUGCGGCAUUGUUUCCUCUCAGGUAUCUAGCUAAUUUAUCUUAACUAGCUAUCUAUCUAGCCAAACGUUAGACGUUGUACUUAGCUAGGAGUAUUCCCUCUCUCUGAGUUAAUGUAGCCCUGUCCUGUAGUCAAAUGACCAAAUCACCCUCUAGUGGCCUCAUGGGUGCAAUAUUAUUCAUAUUUUUCAUAAUUUCAUAAUUAAUAAACAUUGGGUUUUCUUAACUGCCAAAAAUCUGGUGUUUCUAUGUCAAAUGGUUCUGUUAAACUUCAGUCUUAUAUGAUGUAGAUCAAGUAUAGUAUUGGGAUGCAAACUUAAAAUUAAAUACAUUUCAAUUCUAUAUCUGACAUGUUGCAGGUCUCUUCUUUUUUAAGCCCAUACCCAUGUGUGUAAGGUGUAUACUUUUGUUCAAAGUAGAUUUGUACCAAGAAUUCUGUGUGUGCCCAUUGCAGUAAAAUGAACAUGGUUGGUAGCUACAGUAGUUGUCAAGCUUAUAAUUCAUGCUUUUAUGGUGGUUCAGUUACUGUAUGGUUUUUAGCCUAAUUAUUUCCACGAGUUAGCUAGCUAGCUAGCUAGUCUGUCUGGAUGCAGGCACAGUUACUUUAACGAUAAGUGGAUAUAGCUAGCUAGCUACAUAUUGGAUUGAAAGGAGUGUCUCAAUUGUUCAGCCAAGUUUAAACUAUCCAAUUAGACUCUCCACUUAAAUGUUGUCAUGUCUUUGUCCCCCAGAUACUAAAGGCGGCAUGGCCCUGAGAGUACUUAUCCCACCACCAGUGUACAGAGUGCAGGCAGCUACAUAUGGAAAUUAAAGUAGUAUCUCAAAUGUUUAUCCACGUUUGUCCAUUUUGACUGCCCCCUAAAAUCUUGUUACGUCUGUAUUCCCCAGAUACAGAUACUAAAGACGUGUGUGACAAGUUGGAAAGAAGACUACCUGCCCAAGCAUUGAUGAUUCCCGAAAGUCAUACUGUUGUUACAAAUAUGGCUGAAUAACUCUGCAAGGCGACCAAAAGAACAAGAGACCCGAACCCUUCAUUGUGACUCUCGGGGACAAAUCACCUCUACUCCCUGGCAUUCACCAUCAUGAAUGGGCAGGCUCUGGAGCAGAAGACAUUAUGUUUCCUUGUUGUUGUUGUUUGACAUAAAAUCAUGUUGAAAAUGUAUACCUGGUAGGAGCUGUGGGGUGGUGACUUUUCUUCAGCCCCAUUCCUCAGCUUUAAUUGGUAGGGCUGCUGAGAUAUUCAAAUGAUGGAUUGUGCUUCUAAAAUGUUGGUUGAUUGUGUGUUCCUUAUUUGUUUUUUAAAUCUUUUGCAUGACUUCAUUUUGUAGUUGAAAUUAAGAGCUGAAAAAUAAACAUUUGUGUAGUAACGUU
This is a long non-coding RNA of Oncorhynchus nerka (sockeye salmon), 1878 nucleotides long. RefSeq lists it as uncharacterized. The record is from RefSeq and is a predicted model, not a curated record. The transcript has 2 exons. NCBI's taxonomy places the organism in Eukaryota, Metazoa, Chordata, Actinopteri, Salmoniformes, Salmonidae.